GGCCGGUUAGCUCAGCUGGUUAGAGCGUGGUGCUAAUACUGCCAGGGUCCUGGGUUCGAUCCCCAUACUGGCCA
This 74-nucleotide transfer RNA is filed under the name Petromyzon marinus (sea lamprey). RNAcentral describes it as "tRNA-Ile (AAT) (tRNA-Ile-AAT-43-1)". It matches the Rfam family "tRNA". From Rfam's summary of the family: Transfer RNA (tRNA) molecules are approximately 80 nucleotides in length. Their secondary structure includes four short double-helical elements and three loops (D, anti-codon, and T loops). The record is from RNAcentral. Lineage: Eukaryota; Metazoa; Chordata; Hyperoartia; Petromyzontiformes; Petromyzontidae.